Molecule: ribosomal RNA, 643 nt
Filed under: uncultured bacterium
Lineage: Bacteria
Description: bacterial SSU rRNA
Rfam family: Bacterial small subunit ribosomal RNA
Source: RNAcentral
UCUGCCUGGUAGUGGGGGAUAACGUCCGGAAACGGACGCUAAUACCGCAUACGUCCUACGGGAGAAAGCAGGGGACCUUCGGGCCUUGCGCUAUCAGAUGAGCCUAGGUCGGAUUAGCUAGUUGGUGGGGUAAUGGCUCACCAAGGCGACGAUCCGUAACUGGUCUGAGAGGAUGAUCAGUCACACUGGAACUGAGACACGGUCCAGACUCCUACGGGAGGCAGCAGUGGGGAAUAUUGGACAAUGGGCGAAAGCCUGAUCCAGCCAUGCCGCGUGUGUGAAGAAGGUCUUCGGAUUGUAAAGCACUUUAAGUUGGGAGGAAGGGCAGUAAAUUAAUACUUUGCUGUUUUGACGUUACCGACAGAAUAAGCACCGGCUAACUCUGUGCCAGCAGCCGCGGUAAUACAGAGGGUGCAAGCGUUAAUCGGAAUUACUGGGCGUAAAGCGCGCGUAGGUGGUUCGUUAAGUUGGAUGUGAAAUCCCCGGGCUCAACCUGGGAACUGCAUUCAAAACUGACGAGCUAGAGUAUGGUAGAGGGUGGUGGAAUUUCCUGUGUAGCGGUGAAAUGCGUAGAUAUAGGAAGGAACACCAGUGGCGAAGGCGACCACCUGGACUGAUACUGACACUGAGGUGCGAAAGCGUG